ACUUCGGUAAGCACAACCUACCUGUUAUCGCGUUCCGAUUGCUUGUCGACACUUGCAAUCGGCCUCCCGCGGCACACGCCGUCCGGUUCAGCUCGAUCUCACGCUCGACCACCGAAUGACCACCAAUUCACAAUCCGAAAAUUAAAGGUCUGUAACUUGAUGCCACGAUGCUUCGGAUCCGUUCUUGUGAUUUUUGGACGUCGCUUCGGCCCUCCAGGCGGAAACAAAGCCGAAACGUUCGUUUCUUCAAUAUCUUCGCACUAGCUCGACGAAUCGCCGAACCGACUUCGCCAACGCGUUCGUAUAC
Molecule: long non-coding RNA, 307 nt
Filed under: Ananas comosus (pineapple)
Lineage: Eukaryota; Viridiplantae; Streptophyta; Magnoliopsida; Poales; Bromeliaceae
Description: long non-coding RNA (ACOM_LNC017672)
Source: RNAcentral